UUGGGCCUUUAUCUCCAUUUGCAUGCCGACUCCAGGUGUACGUGGUAAACGAAACCCAUAGAACGAUUUGUGACGUCUGCAGAGAAGCCCUGUCUUUUUGGUGGCACGGUUUCUUUGAUGAUGUUGUACAAUU
Molecule: small nucleolar RNA, 133 nt
Filed under: Meyerozyma guilliermondii ATCC 6260
Lineage: Eukaryota; Fungi; Ascomycota; Pichiomycetes; Serinales; Debaryomycetaceae
Source: RNAcentral